Long non-coding RNA from Hippopotamus amphibius kiboko, 493 nucleotides. RefSeq lists it as uncharacterized. The record is from RefSeq and is a predicted model, not a curated record. The transcript has 3 exons. NCBI's taxonomy places the organism in Eukaryota, Metazoa, Chordata, Mammalia, Artiodactyla, Hippopotamidae.
GGCCAUCUUUGGUUUUGGGCAACGUCAAAUUAGGACACGAAAUAAAGGAAUUGGUGCAUGCACUCAAUUAUGGAGGCUGAAAAGUCCUACAGUGUGCAGUCUGCAAGUUGGACACCCUGGAAAGCUGGUGGUGUAAUUCAGUCUGAGUCUGAAGGCCUGAAAACCAGGUGAGCGGAUGGCGUAAAUCCAGUCUAAGUACAAGAGAAGAACGAUGUACCAGUCCAGCAGUCAGAUUCUAUUGGUAGGGCUUCCCUGUUGGCGCAGCGGUUAAGAAUCCACCUGCCAAUGCAGGGGACACGGUUUCGAGCCCUGGUCUGGGAAGACCCCGCAUGCCACAGAGCAACUAAGCCCGUGUGCCACAGCUACUGAGCCUGUGCUCUAGAGCCCAUGAGACACAACUACUGAGCCCACACGCCGCAAGUACUGAAGCCCACAUGGCUAGAGCCCAUGCUCCCCAACAAGAGAAGCUACCACAAAAAGAAGCCUGUGCACU